Molecule: ribosomal RNA, 396 nt
Filed under: uncultured bacterium
Lineage: Bacteria
Description: partial 16S ribosomal RNA
Rfam family: Bacterial small subunit ribosomal RNA
Source: RNAcentral
UAUUGGACAAUGGGCGCAAGCCUGAUCCAGCCAUGCCGCGUGAGUGAUGAAGGCCNUANNGUUGUNANGCUCUUUCACCGAUGNNNNNAAUGACGGUAGACGGAGAAGAAGCCCCGGCUAACUUCGUGCCAGCAGCCGCGGUAAUACGAAGGGGGCUAGCGUUGUUCGGAUUUACUGGGCGUAAAGCGCACGUAGGCGGAUUGGUCAGUUAGAGGUGAAAUCCCGAAGCUCAACUUCGGAACUGCCUUUAAUACUGCCAGUCUCGAGUCCGGAAGAGGGAAGUGGAACUCCUAGUGUAGAGGUGGAAUUCGUAGAUAUUAGGAAGAACACCAGUGGCGAAGGCGGCUUACUGGUCCGGAACUGACGCUGAGGUGCGAAAGCGUGGGGAGCAUACAG